AUACGGAGGGUCCAAGCGUUAUCCGGAAUCAUUGGGUUUAAAGGGUUCGUAGGCGGGUCAAUAAGUCAGAGGUGAAAUCUUGCAGCUUAACUGUAAAAUUGCCUUUGAUACUGUUGACCUUGAAUUACUGUGAAGUGGUUAGAAUAUGUAGUGUAGCGGUGAAAUGCUUAGAGAUUACAUAGAAUACCGAUUGCGAAGGCAGAUCACUAACAGUAUAUUGACGCUGAUGAACGAAAGCGUGGGUAGCGAACGGGAUUAGAUACCCUAGUAGUCC
Molecule: ribosomal RNA, 274 nt
Filed under: uncultured bacterium
Lineage: Bacteria
Description: partial 16S ribosomal RNA
Rfam family: Bacterial small subunit ribosomal RNA
Source: RNAcentral